Molecule: non-coding RNA, 149 nt
Filed under: Paraburkholderia tropica
Lineage: Bacteria; Pseudomonadati; Pseudomonadota; Betaproteobacteria; Burkholderiales; Burkholderiaceae
Description: FMN sequence
Rfam family: FMN riboswitch aptamer (RFN element)
About the family: The RFN element is a highly conserved domain that is found frequently in the 5'-untranslated regions of prokaryotic mRNAs that encode for flavin mononucleotide (FMN) biosynthesis and transport proteins. This element is a metabolite-dependent riboswitch that directly binds FMN in the absence of proteins.
Source: Rfam by way of RNAcentral
ACACGUUCUCGGGGCGGGGUGCAAUUCCCCACCGGCGGUAAUCGGCGUUAAACACGACGUAGCCCGCGAGCGCUCUGCGAUUGCAGAGGUCAGCAGACCCGGUUGGAUUCCGGGGCCGACGGUCAUAGUCCGGAUGAAAGAGAACAGAA